This is a long non-coding RNA of Ochotona curzoniae (black-lipped pika), 377 nucleotides long. RefSeq lists it as uncharacterized. The record is from RefSeq and is a predicted model, not a curated record. The transcript is spliced from 3 exons. Lineage: Eukaryota; Metazoa; Chordata; Mammalia; Lagomorpha; Ochotonidae.
UCUGGCAGGCAUGGGCUUGGGUCCCAGGAAGGGGAAGCUCCUAUAAUGGCCUCAGCCCUUCCACCUGCGCCUUCCCUCCUGAGGCUCAGCCACGAGUGGGCUGUGGAAUUACCAUUUUUUCAGCAAAUAAAGCUCCAUUUGACUGAGCUGAACCUCAUGGCUGCCAACAUGGGUCCCAAGCCUGAGCAGGAGAAGCAAGCGUGAGUACCUUGGACCACAGAUCCAUCGCCUCCCUGUUCGUCUUCAUCACUGCUCGCCAUGGCAUUGUCAGCUCCUGAUUUGGAUAUUUAAAGACACCUUCCAAAUUGAUGACUUCUAGCUUCUCAAGCCGCUUGGGGUGGAGACCCACGUUGCUUUGUCUUUCACAGAAAUUAGCU